AUUGAACGCUGGCGGCAGGCUUAACACAUGCAAGUCGAGCGGUAACAUUUCUAGCUUGCUAGAAGAUGACGAGCGGCGGACGGGUGAGUAAUACUUAGGAAUCUACCUAGUAGUGGGGGAUAGCUCGGGGAAACUCGAAUUAAUACCGCAUACGACCUACGGGAGAAAGGGGGCAACUUGUUGCUCUCGCUAUUAGAUGAGCCUAAGUCGGAUUAGCUAGAUGGUGGGGUAAAGGCCUAC
RNAcentral lists this ribosomal RNA (240 nucleotides) under Psychrobacter sp. RNAcentral describes it as "partial 16S ribosomal RNA". It matches the Rfam family "Bacterial small subunit ribosomal RNA", at positions 30 to 268 of the family's 1533-position model. Lineage: Bacteria; Pseudomonadati; Pseudomonadota; Gammaproteobacteria; Moraxellales; Moraxellaceae. The record is from RNAcentral.